This 58-nucleotide microRNA precursor is filed under the name Dasypus novemcinctus (nine-banded armadillo). RNAcentral's name for it is "microRNA dno-mir-190b precursor". Its record names the gene dno-mir-190b. Lineage: Eukaryota; Metazoa; Chordata; Mammalia; Cingulata; Dasypodidae. The record is from miRBase by way of RNAcentral.
UGAUAUGUUUGAUAUUGGGUUGUUUAACUAGAAAUCAACUAAAUGUCAAACAUUCUUA